RNAcentral lists this ribosomal RNA (396 nucleotides) under uncultured bacterium. RNAcentral describes it as "partial 16S ribosomal RNA". It matches the Rfam family "Bacterial small subunit ribosomal RNA", at positions 523 to 918 of the family's 1533-position model. The record is from RNAcentral.
AUACGUAGGUGACAAGCGUUAUCCGGAUUUACUGGGCGUAAAGGGCGUGUAGGCGGUCUUGCAAGUCAGAAGUGAAAUUCCUGAGCUCAACUCGGGCGCUGCUUCUGAAACUGCAGGACUUGAGUGCUGGAGGGGAUAGCGGAAUUCCUAGUGGAGCGGUAAAAUGCGCAGAUAUCAGGAGGAACACCGGUGGCGAAGGCGGCUUACUGGGCUUUUACUGACGCUGAGGCUCGAAAGCGUGGGGAGCAAACAGGAUUAGAUACCCUGGUAGUCCACGCUGUAAACGAUGAUUACUAGGUGUGGGGGGACUGACCCCUUCCGCGCCGCAGUUAACACAAUAAGUAUUCCGCCUGGGGAGUACGGCCGCAAGGUUGAAACUCAAAUGAAUUGACGGGG